Molecule: ribosomal RNA, 440 nt
Filed under: uncultured bacterium
Lineage: Bacteria
Description: bacterial SSU rRNA
Rfam family: Bacterial small subunit ribosomal RNA
Source: RNAcentral
CCUACGGGUGGCAGCAGUGGGGAAUAUUGCACAAUGGGGAAAACCCUGUGGCAGCAAGGCCGCGUAAGCGAAAAAGGCCUUCGGGUCGUAAAGCUUGGUCUUAGGGGAGAAGGAAGAACGGUCCCUUGGACGGAGGCCCAGCCUACGUACGUGCCGGAGCCGGCGGGAAACCGUAGGGGGGGAGGUUUAUCCGGAAUCACUGGGCGUAAAGGGGGGGUAGGCGGCCGAUUAAGCCGGGGGUGAAAGGCUACGGCUCAACCGUAGUAAGCCCUUGGAACUGAUUGGCUUGAGUGCAGGAGAGGAGAGUGGAAUUCCUAGUGUAGCGGUGAAAUGCGUAGAUAUUAGGAGGAACACCAGUGGCGAAGGCGACUCUCUGGACUGUAACUGACGCUGAGGCACGAAAGCGUGGGGAGCAAACAGGAUUAGAUACCCGGGUAGUC